GAUGAACGCUGGCGGCGUGCCUAAUACAUGCAAGUCGAGCGAACGGACGAGAAGCUUGCUUUUCUGAUGUUAGCGGCGGACGGGUGAGUAACACGUGGAUAACCUACCUAUAAGACUGGGAUAACUUCGGGAAACCGGAGCUAAUACCGGAUAAUAUUUUGAACAGCAUGGUUCAAAAGUGAAAGACGGUCUUGCUGUCACUUAUAGAUGGAUCCGCGCUGCAUUAGCUAGUUGGUAAGGUAACGGCUUACCAAGGCAACGAUGCAUAGCCGACCUGAGAGGGUGAUCGGCCACACUGGAACUGAGACACGGUCCAGACUCCUACGGGAGGCAGCAGUAGGGAAUCUUCCGCAAUGGGCGAAAGCCUGACGGAGCAACGCCGCGUGAGUGAUGAAGGUCUUCGGAUCGUAAAACUCUGUUAUUAGGGAAGAACAUAUGUGUAAGUAACUGUGCACAUCUUGACGGUACCUAAUCAGAAAGCCACGGCUAACUACGUG
Molecule: ribosomal RNA, 497 nt
Filed under: uncultured bacterium
Lineage: Bacteria
Description: partial 16S ribosomal RNA
Rfam family: Bacterial small subunit ribosomal RNA
Source: RNAcentral